This is a long non-coding RNA of Betta splendens (Siamese fighting fish), 1551 nucleotides long. Lineage: Eukaryota; Metazoa; Chordata; Actinopteri; Anabantiformes; Osphronemidae. The record is from Ensembl.
GUAGACGCCACAUGAGCUGAGCAUCCUUGGUUUGGGAGAAGGGAGGAUGAGCAGCAGGCCGAGCGGCUGCAGGAGAGGAGGCGGCAGCAGGAGCAGAGCAGGACGGAGCAGCUCGGCCCGGACCGCCUCAGGAAGAACCAGAGCUUUCUGCAGAAACUGGAGAGCAGGGCUUCAGGUGCGCUGGCCUCCUGCAGAGCCCCACAGACGCCCCCCGGGGCGUGUGCCCAUCAGCACGAGGCCGUGGAGACUGAACCGAGAGACAAGCUGGAGAAGAGCGAGAGAGCCGUGGAGCUGGAACACAAGAGAGUGAACACAGCGUUUCUGGACAAACUGGAGGCUGAAGGCAGAAGGAGCGAGACCAGCGCUCCGGAGGCAGAGCGGCUUGAAGCACUCCGUCCGGCUCCAGCUGCAGAACCGGUCCCACCCGCUGACGGGAGCCCAGAUCCAGCGCCGAGCGGCUCCGACGGGACCGAGGCAGCCGACCUGGAGCCCGAGUUGGACUGGGCCUUGAUGAAGCUGGUGAGCAGCUUUCCAGACGGAGACCCAGCCUUCCUCCAGGACAUCCUGGGGCAGUGUGGGGGCGACUACCAGCAGGCCUGCAGGCUGCUGAAGCCCCCGCUCAGCUGAGGCCUCGCUCCGCAGACCCUCCUGCACCUCCCGGGCCGUGUGCGCUUCCUGGAGCCUGUUUUGGAUUAUACUAUUAAUGUGCUUUGCCCCCCCCUCCUCGUAGCACUGAGUCAUGCCUGCUUUUAGUCCUGACAUUGACUUGAAUUGAUGAUCAUUUUCACCACUUUAGUCAAAGGUCAUCGCCAUGACUCAGUCCUCUGGUCAUAUUUUGGGCUCUUAAUUAAAUCAGUGUGUGCACAUUUUGUUUGUUUUCUAAUCACGCUCAUGUGUGACGGAUUCUUAAGGGCAACAAAAGAUGCAAAUAGGAUUCCACGAAGGAGGACCUUUAAUGCUUGCUUUGUUUCAGCCUCGUAGUUGGCAGAGAGCUCAGUAACCGAGCUUUCAGCUCUGUCCCAUUCGUGGAAUAGUUUCCUUCAUCAGCCUGGGUCAGGUUUUCAGGUGGGCAGUCGGCACCGAGCUGCUGCCGUGUCUCUACAUGCCAUCCUCUCCAUCUGAGUGGAGGAACAGAGCACAAAGGCUGGAGAAGUGCCAUCAUCCACCAAACACCUUCAACGAGAGAGCGGGGUCCUCCGCGUUACUGAGGUCAACGCCAACCUGCUCGCUUCCGACUCCAGCAGGAAUCAAACACAGAUUGAUUUUACAUGAAGGAACGGAUGCCGUGUUUUCACGGGUGCUAACGUUUGUCUGAGGUGGAUGAAACGUCUGCAUGUCAAGUACAAGGAACGUACUGCAUCAAGCUCUUCAGUGAUUGCAUGAUACUUCCCUCUGUAGUGGAAUCGAAGCCUCAUUAAACCUCUUCAGUAAAGUCAGGAUUCCUCAGCGGCUGCGUUCGUCCACUCUCCCCAUCAGCUCAUUACAGCGAAAGCCAACAAGCUUUAGAGCGGUACCGUGUUCUGGUUCAGCAGCGGGUCAGGCUGGGUGGAG